CAGUCUCAGUUCGGAUUGAAGGCUGAAAUUCGCCUUCAUGAAGCCGGAAUUGCUAGUAAUGGCAGGUCAGCAUACUGCCGUGAAUACGUUCCCGGGCCUUGUACACACCGCCCGUCACACCAUGAGAGUUGGGAAUACCCGAAGCCUGUGAGCUAACUUUUAGAGGCAGCAGUCGAAGGUAGAAUCAAUGAUUGGGGUGAAGUCGUAACAAGGUACC
This 217-nucleotide ribosomal RNA is filed under the name uncultured bacterium. Its description in RNAcentral is "partial 16S ribosomal RNA". It matches the Rfam family "Bacterial small subunit ribosomal RNA", at positions 1283 to 1500 of the family's 1533-position model. The record is from RNAcentral.